Molecule: unclassified non-coding RNA, 251 nt
Filed under: plant metagenome
Description: partial contains small subunit ribosomal RNA, internal transcribed spacer 1, and 5.8S ribosomal RNA
Rfam family: Eukaryotic small subunit ribosomal RNA (bases 1-54)
Source: RNAcentral
GGAAGUAAAAGUUGUAACAAGGUCUCUGUAGGUGAACCUGCGGAGGGAUCAUUACAGAGUUCAUGCCCUACCGGGUAGAUCUCCCACCCUAUGUUAUUAUUACUUUGUUGCUUUGGCGGGCCGUUAGGCUCCGGCCCGACUACCGGCCCCGGCUGGUAAGCGCCCGCCAGAGGACCCAAAACCCUGAAUAUUAGUGUCGUCUGAGUACUAUAUAAUAGUUAAAACUUUCAACAACGGAUCUCUUGGUUCUG